AACGGCCGCGGUAUUUUGACCGUGCAAAUGUAGCGCAAUCACUUGUCUUUUAAAUAAAGACCUGUAUGAAUGGCAUAACGAGGGCUUAACUGUCUCCUUUUCCCUAUCAAUGAAAUUGAUCUCCCCGUGCAGAAGCGGGGAUUUAUACAUAAGACGAGAAGACCCUAUGGAGCUUAAGCCGCAAGAACAGAACAUGUUACUUCUUUCAGUCAAAAUAUGAAACCUUAUUGAAUCCUGUUCAAGUGUCUUUGGUUGGGGCGACCACGGAGUAUAAAAAAACCUCCCCGAGGAAUAAAGGUAUUCCUUUCUAUCUAAGGGUGACAACCCUAAGAAUUAGAAUUUCUAACCAUAAUGAUCCGGCAAAGCCGAUCAACGAACCGAGUUACCCUAGGGAUAACAGCGCAAUCCUCUUUUAGAGCCCAUAUCGACAAGAGGGUUUACGACCUCGAUGUUGGAUCAGGACAUCCCAAU
Molecule: ribosomal RNA, 471 nt
Filed under: Aphyosemion louessense
Lineage: Eukaryota; Metazoa; Chordata; Actinopteri; Cyprinodontiformes; Nothobranchiidae
Description: partial 16S ribosomal RNA
Rfam family: Bacterial large subunit ribosomal RNA
Source: RNAcentral